UUGCUGAUAUGAAGAUGCACAGAGAAAGUUUUUACUGAGGAGGACCUGAACUUAUAUUUGAGCCGUAAAUCUCCGUUAGGUUCAAUUAAAUUCUUUUGGGGUGAUUGAAGGAAGCAGAGUAGAUCCAGGUUCACUAAAUGUGAAGCCCUUUCAGAAUAAAAGUCCAGGUUUAUUCAACACCCUGAUUAUAAAGGGUGUAAAGUUUUUGAUCACUACUCUGAACUAUGGACUCCUGAACUCAGUCACUGCCUGUGAUGCUUCAUAAAUCUGAUGUCCAGUGUAAACAAGUCAAACUGAAGUUUUAGUGGUAAAAUGUGAAAACAAAGUAAAUCUGAAUGUAAUGUAACAUUCAGUGAUGGAGGAUAAAAUGUUGUUUCAGGCUCCUGAUUCAGUAUCUCUGAUGGUUCACUGCCCUCUAGUGGGGAAGUUUAAGUGUGGCACAUUCAGGCUUCAUCACUGUGAGUGCUUCCUCCUCUGUCUGCUUUAAAGGGUCAGUUCACCCAAAUUACAAAAAGACACUUUCUCUCUUACCUUCAGUGGUGUGUAGCCACGCAGGUAGUUUUGUUCUGUUUCUCUGAACACUGUGAGGUUUGGAGGUUUCUUCAAAUGUUAGGUGACUUUUUAUUUGAUCCCAAUCUACAUGUUGGACAUCUCUGCACAGUUUCUCAAUCUGAACCACCUAAAUGAGCCAAAUUCAUUAUAACCCAUUGUGUGUCCUCAUCAGAUCCCACCAGUCUUCUUGAACUAUGUGUGUCAAUCACGACUUUAGUGCGAUGUGGGUGUUGACUGGCAUUUGGCACGUCAUAUAUGUUAAUAAGCUAAAGAGGAAGUACAUCUAGUGGUUUAAGAGCUUGUUAUCUGACUUCUGCUCACUCACAACUGAGGAACGGCUUCUUUCAAGACGACGUCCGUCUUCACUAGAGAUCAGAGGAGCAGAUAUGAGUUUAAGUGCAGCAGUGAGUGGAUUUGUCGUCUUCCUUCUCUCUGUGUCAGUUUUCACACUUACCUCAGCAGCAUCCUGACCACAGAGUGAACAGAGAGAAGUGACCAAGAACAGCACAGACUCUAAUAAAUAAUAUUUCUCAUGUUAUCCUGGUCAGUAAACUGCAUUAAAGGUCACAGGUUCAAUACAUUCCUGUUCACUUCACUGCACCUUCAGACUGGGUGCACACUGAGUUUAACUGUAGAAAGCAUGUUCACAUCUUCCACUCUUCCUUUGUUUGUGUUCAUCCUCCCUAAAGGGAAGUUAACAUGUGGGUGGAGUAACAUGAG
Long non-coding RNA from Acanthopagrus latus (yellowfin seabream), 1272 nucleotides. RefSeq lists it as uncharacterized. The record is from RefSeq and is a predicted model, not a curated record. The transcript is spliced from 3 exons. Lineage: Eukaryota; Metazoa; Chordata; Actinopteri; Spariformes; Sparidae.